CCUUUCAGGUAGAUCACAGCACCCAGGACCAGCCAGAUCCCCCUGUAUCCCGGUCUCCUCAUCCUGUAGGGGGCACUUCUGCCCAGAUGGAGAGGGGACGUUGUGUAGGGCACCUCCAAAAAAAUAUCCCAAAUCCAGGAGUCAGCACAAAUCCAAAAAAAUCCCAAACACAUGGACCCCCAGCAGCCCCAGAGGACACACAACCAGCGUGCAGCAGACAGCAGACUGGAAUCUUCACCCACGUGUGCUACAGGGAUCCCUCCAACUGCCCCCCCUGAGCCCAGCCAAUCCUGCCCCCCUACCCCAGGGCUGGGAGAUCCAGGCAGGGAGCCUGGGACAGGGCUGCAGCAUGCAGGGCAGCAGAUCCUUUAAACCUGAUCCAUGCACAGCCAAAUCCCAGACUAGGAAAAGCUGCUCGCUGCUCUGCUGCAAAACCCAAGGAGGAUGCGCACACACAGCAGAGAGAGAGAUUUAACAUCAGCCUCCACGUGCACCAGGACAGACUGCAGGACAGCACUGGGACCUGGCUGCUGGAAGAGGGAGGUCUCAGCACCUCCUGCCAGAGAGAGGUCCUGGGGUAAAUCACCUGCUGGAGAGAAGACCUGGGAGAUCACCUGCUGGAGAGAGGUCCUGGGGUAAAUCACCUGCUGGAGAGAAGACCUGUGAGAUCACCUACUGGAGAGAGGUCCUGGGGUAAAUCACCUCAUGGGGAUAUGGAAAGGACCUGGGAGCAGAUCACUUACUGGAGAGAGGUCCUGUGAGAUCACCUGGGGCGAUAAUCUGGGAAGAAUCACCUGAAGAGAGGAAUCACCUGAAUAGAGGUCUUGGGAGCAGAUGAUUUGCUGGAUUGAGGUCCUGGGAGAAGAUAACCUGCUGGAUUGAGGUCCUGGGAGUAGAUCACCUGCUGGAUUGAGGUCCUGUGAGCAGAUCACUUGCUGGAUUGAGGUCCUGGGAGCAGAUCACCUGCUGGAUUGAGGUCCUGGGAGCAGAUCACCUACUGAAUUGAGGUCCUGGAAGCAGAUGACUUGCUGGAUUGAGGUCCUGGGAGCAGAUCACUUGCUGGAUUGAGGUCCUGGGAGCAGAUAACUUGCUGGUUUGAGGUCCUGGGAGCAGAUGACUUGCUGGAUUGAGGUCCUGGGAGCAGAUGACUUGCUGGAUUGAGGUCCUUGGAGCAGAUCACCUGCUGGAAUGAGAUCCAGUGAUGUGAGAUCACGUGUAGAAGACAGUGCUGGCUGGCUGUAGAGUGCUUGGGGUGUGAGAUCACUUGCUGGGUGAUAGUGUCUAGGAUUGUAGACAGCCUGGGAUUAUACAGUCUCUGGGGUGUAAUCUCAUGUUGAGGAGAGUCUGGGGUGAUCACUGACUGGGGGAUCUCAUGGAUUUAAAGAUCAAGAGAUCUGCUGCCUCUGGGUCUCUCAGUUUUUUAAGGAUCUGUUUCUGAAAAUGUCUGGGACCUCAAAGUCUUCCUGUUUUGUUCAUGUGCUGAACCUGGAUCCUGUAAUUCACCAGGAGAAAUGUUGCUGCUGACUCCCUCUCCCUGAUGGGGCACUCUGCUGCUAACCCCCAGUAUGUGGAACUCUGCUGCUAUCCUCCCAGUAUGGGGCACUCUGCUGCUACCCCCAGUAUGUGGAACUCUGCUGCUAUCCCCCCAGUAUGGGGCACUCUGCUGCUACCCCCAGUAUGUGGAACUCUGCUGCUAUCCCCCCAGUAUGGGUCACUCUGCUGCUAUCUUCCCAGUAUGGGGCACUCUGCUAUCCCCCCAGUAUGAGGCACUCUGCUGCUAUUCCCCCCAGUAUGAGGCACGCUGCUACCCCCCCAGUAUGAGGCACUCUGCUGCUAUUCCCCCCAGUAUGAGGCACGCUGCUACCCCCCCAGUAUGAGCACUCUGCUGCUACCCCCCAGUAUAAGGCACUCUGCUGCUAUUCCCCCCAGUAUGAGGCACUCUUCUGCUACCCCCAAGUAUGGGGCAAUCUGCUGCUAUUCCCCCCAAUAUGAGGCACUCUGCUAUCCCUCCAGUAUGAGUCACUCUGCUAUCCCCCCAGUAUGAGUCACUCUGCUAUCCCCCCAGUAUGAGGCACUCUGCUGCUGUCUCCCUAAUAAUGAGUACCAAAGGAGAAGUUUGCUGCUGAUUCUCCCACAGGGAUUUUGAUGCCCCCCCCUUCCCCCCAGUACAGG
This is a non-coding RNA of Pelobates cultripes (western spadefoot toad), 2172 nucleotides long. Lineage: Eukaryota; Metazoa; Chordata; Amphibia; Anura; Pelobatidae. The record is from the annotation of a GenBank genome assembly.